CAUUAUUGGAAUUUCAAUCAGCAUUGCAUUAAAUCUAUAUAGUAGUUUUGGAAGUAUGGCCAUUUUCACUAUAUUGGUUCUUCCUACCCAGGAACAAGAUGAAGACCCUGCAUCUGAGGGAGGUGAAGUCAGAGGCUCAAGGUUGCACAACCAGUACCUAAAACGAGCCCUUCGACUCUAAGCCCUUGACCCUGGCCAGGAGUGGGAGAAAGUUCACAGAACCAACCUCUCUAGGCACAGUCACUGAGAGAUGAGCAGGCCUCUUCUACCACACUCUCCUGCUAUGAUUUACUGUACUGACACAAGUCCGAAGCAACAGAGCCAAGUGACCAUGGACUGAACCCUAUGAAGUCGUGAGCCGAAAUAAAUCUUUCCGCCUUUUAA
RNAcentral lists this long non-coding RNA (384 nucleotides) under Heterocephalus glaber (naked mole-rat). RNAcentral's name for it is "lncRNA (ENSHGLG00100050228.1)". Lineage: Eukaryota; Metazoa; Chordata; Mammalia; Rodentia; Bathyergidae. The record is from RNAcentral.